AAAAAAAACAGACCCCCAACGGAAACUUCCCCAGACGCGUCUCUCCCUCUCGCGUCUCCCUCACGCUCUCUCCCUCUCUCCCAAACUCCCUCCCUCGCGUGCACCCAACGCGAGCCAAUCACGUACGCUUCUCUCUCCCUCGCGCAGAACCUCACAGACGCGACGUACGCUAAAAAUCCCCAGAAAUCGCGUCUCUUCCCCGCGUCUCCUCACGUCCGCGUCCCUUCACGCUCUUCUCCCUCCUUCCUCUAUCUCGCGUGGGUGCGGAACAAGCCCCAAUACGCGUCUAGCUGUCCUCGUACAGCUCUGCAACGUCUCCCUCCUCUCACAGCCUGUUGUGCGCUAAACGACGCAAAAAUCCAUCCUUGCAACGCGGAUUUGAGCCACGUCGUGUACCAAGGACGGAAGGCUCAUCUCGACCCUCCACGUCGCCUCAAAGCCGUUCGAAGAUCCUGGAAUCGAGGAAUAUUCGUUGUCUUUUGGAUAAGAUUGAGUUUUUAAAAUGGGAUGGGCCGAAGAAAGGCGGGUUUUGGAGGGUUUUUCCUGGAGAAGAACCCUAGAUUUUUGUCUUCUCCUAUAAAUAUCUCGGUUUCUGGCUUUCUUGAGGAUCUUUUUUUUUUGGAAAAUUUCUGGAAAUCUUCCUUCAUCUUCGGAGCAUUCAAACUACAAAAGGAGAGUGAAAGGUCUAGAGGAGAGAUUUUUUCUGUUUCAUUAAGCAUACAUCUGCGUUGAGUAGUCAAGAACAAGCCGUCAAAGAGGUCGAAAUCGUGAUUCUGUUUUUUUGUCUAAUUGAUUCAUUUCCCUUGAACUGCUCGGGGGUUCUUGAGUUGGUUGAAGUUUGUCGUCUCCUUGCUCAACGACGUUCCCGUUCGCUGCUUUCGAAGAGGUAAUGCCCCCUUCUACUUACAUUCUGUUUCAAACGUUGGAUGUAACGUAAUAAGUGCUCAUGGGUUUCUCUGCCUCAAUUCUGUUUUGGACUAUUUGCUUUAAUUUGGGGUUCGUCUUCGGUUGAGUGUUCUUUAUUUCGGCAUUGUUAGUUUGUUUAUAGACUGCGUUGUGUGUUUUUUUUAAUCGAUAUGGCCGCCGGCUCAGUUGGUAUAUAUAUUCGCAGGGGAGCAUAUUAAGUUUAACUGUCGUCCUGUUCGUCAAAUAGUUCUCUUUUUUCUUUCUUUUUUUUCUUCUUGGUUCAUUACCGCUAUCUCUGUUGGUUUCUCUCAAUGUCGAGAUUAAUUGUGGAUUAUGAUUUUGUUCGGUAAUGUGUGCUGGCUUGUUUAUCACUAUUGUGAUCGACAUCUCUGAGUAUGCUUGCUGGAAGUAGUUGUUUGUUUAAAUUACAUGUAUAACUCGUGUGUCCUCAACUAGUUUGUUCGAGCAAAUGUGUUGCGUGGUUAUGAUUUAGAGGUCCGUGAACUUUAACGAAUGUGAUUCCACCUUCUUCUUCUCCUCAUUGAGCAUGUUUUCCUUAUAUGUAGUUGAGUUUGAAUGGGUGCUAAAUACUCGAUAUCGUAUCCUUUAUUCCUUCAUCUCAAGUGGAAGGAAUGAAUGACGAUGUCUAAAUUUGGAUUGGUCUUGUGGCACCAUCCCACUUGUUUGUUUAAGCAUGAAGAAGGGGUUUAUAAAUAAAGGUUAUAUUAUCUUACAAUUAAAUAAGAAAAGAUUUUAAAUAAAUAAAUUUGAGAUGAGCGUCUAGUAGGAUUAUUUGGCUAAUGACACUUCUUCACCUUAGUAGACUUUCCAUUUUUUUUAUUAUUUCUUUUAGUUCUGAGGAUAGUAUCUGCCAUGCUUUGAUUUUGUUUGCUAAUUCGGCUUCCUUUUUGUUUAGUUCUUUCUUGAGUUUGAAUUAUCUUUAUAUCUUCGUCAUACAAAUGUGUUUAUGUCGUAUAUCAACUAAAGUAUGGAAUGAACAACUUAGCUGCUUAUUUUCACUUAGUAUUGUGAUUCUAUAUUUGUCACUUUGUCCCUUGCUUAAGUAGAUUGUCAUGUGGUAAAUGGCGUGAUUUGAAUUAUUAAGUUUCUUUAGAAUUUGUCUCCCUAUAUUAAUUAUCCAUGUCUUGAAUUAUUUGUGUUGUUAUAAUUAUUUGGGAUAUUGUCUUGAUUUACCUUGUAUUUAUUUCGAUUUUGAUUAUGUGAGGUUCUAAUCAUGGUUUCCAUCUUUAUGCAUGUAAAACUGCCCGAGUUUAUUACUAAACUCUUGUCCUCUAUUCCGAGGGAGACAUAAAGGCUCUAAAUGUCUUUCAUCGAGUCAAUUCGUCAAAACCGGCGUAUGAAGUUAAAUUCCGAGUUCUACGAAGAUCGAAAGCCGAGGGAGCACGGGAUUAGAAGACCCUUUUUAUUUAUUUUUGCAUUUUUGUAAUGGGCAUAAGCCCUAGUUAUUUUCCUCGUUUUCUUUGUUUAUUUUUAUUUUAUCUUGUAUGCUUAGAUUAGGACAGGUGAUAAAAUGGGUCAAAACCCGAAAAAAAAGGUGGGUCCAAAACUCGGUCAAGGCGAACAGAACCCGAGUUUGGACCCAAAUCUCUCUCUCCCUCUCUCUCUCUCUCUCUCUCUUUACUCCUUGUUUACGUGCUUUUACUUAAAUGUCGUUACUUUAGGUUUAGAAACUCCAACCCAUCGAACAUCUUUUGUUUAUCAAACUUAAAAUUAAAAGUUGAAGUUUUAAAACGAUAGAGGUUUAAAUUUGAAAGUUGCUUAGAUUUAAAGUUUAAAAAGUUUAACUUUAAUGAAAUCUUAAAACAAUAAUAUUUCACAAGUCUGUUUGAGUUUAGAGAGCUUUAACCUUAAGAAAAUUUGCAAGAUAAAUAUUUCAAAAUUUGCAAAGUUUGGCUAAGUAAAUUCUGAUAAAGUUUAAACUUCGAUUUGCAAAGGUUAAAACGAAAUAGUCAAAUAAGUUAAUUGCCGGAAAAUCGUGUUUAACGGAGUGCCUUAGGUGCCUUUAACACCUUCCUAAGACACUAAUAGGAAUCCCGAACCACUUAAAAUAUUUUCAAAAUAACUUUUUCUGUUUAAGUUGUUUUGGAAAUAAGUUUUCUUGAUUUUUCUUAAAAAAUUAAGUGGCGACUCCUAAAAGUCGAAAAUACCCUUUAAAACAACAAACUCUUUUCGAAAACCAAUUUUUCGAUAAAACAGUCUUCAAAGUUAAAAUUAAUAUACCUGAAAUUUCAAUAAUAUUAUUUAGUGUAGUUAUAAAGUAUAAUUAGAUAAAUUAAUCAAAGAAUCCUUGUUGGAGUACCAAAGAAAAUUAAAAUAAAUUAAAAUAAAAUAAUCUUUGUAGGAAUACCAAAGAAAAUUAUCCUAGCCUCUAAUUAUUCAAUUUGUACACACUCUCAAUGUUCACUACACCAUUUGAAGAUUAAUGGACAUAAACAUUAAUGUAGGGUUCCUUUUCCUUGUGAGUUUUAUGAAAGUUAAACUUAAAUACCUAAAUAUUGUCAUAUGUUCAUCUUGUCUUUCAUUAUAAACAAUAAAGAUUAUUUUUAAAAAAAUAUGUGCAAAAUAAUAAGUACACUAAAAUCAUCAAUAAUGAGG
RNAcentral lists this long non-coding RNA (3522 nucleotides) under Solanum lycopersicum (tomato). RNAcentral's name for it is "long non-coding RNA (SLYC_LNC000792)". The record is from RNAcentral. Lineage: Eukaryota; Viridiplantae; Streptophyta; Magnoliopsida; Solanales; Solanaceae.